Molecule: long non-coding RNA, 1100 nt
Filed under: Lepisosteus oculatus (spotted gar)
Lineage: Eukaryota; Metazoa; Chordata; Actinopteri; Semionotiformes; Lepisosteidae
Description: lncRNA (ENSLOCG00000021778.1)
Source: RNAcentral
UGAAGAGGCAGCUCCCCCAUUUACGAAUCCAAAAGGGCAAAAGGAAAUCCUAUAUAAUAUCUUCUCUGCCUUUUUUUAAAGAAAACAAAAACAGAACUGGCCAGACGAUAUAUUUUAAAAAGCCUACAAAAGGCUAUUCUUCUGCCACCAGCCCUAAAGGCAACAGGAAAUCCUAUACAAGCAAGCCCCAUAUGAGCUGAAAAUGAGGCUUUCCCUUUAUGUCCUGCAAGCACACAUCCUGAAAAUGACCUUAUUCUGGCAGUGGCAUCAGCAGACAAAAACGAGUUUGGAGUAGAAGUUGACGUGGUGCUUUUUUCGCUAGUGAGAAACUCAGGAAGCAACUGCGGAGAUGAGAAUUAGUAGAAAUCUCGUUGAAGGCUGUGAAAAGAUGGGUUUGCCAUUUGUCAGAAAGGGUAAAGACAAUCGAAGAGGUCCUGCUGGAAGACUUUUACACCUUUUGAGAACUGUGCAGCCCAAUCUGAGGUCAUUUCAACAAACUGCUAUUUUUAAAAAGGGGACAGAAGUUGCUGUGGAGGGGAAAAGGCCUUUAACUGAGCCCGCAAGAACAUCUGCAUUUUAUGGAAGCUUACAAAGGGAGGAUUGGCUACACAUCUGCUGGUUUUUCUUGUUCCAUCUAUGACACUAUCUAUACAUGUACAGUGGGAUUUAAGAUGGCAUUUGCAAAGAAGAGGCAGGUUAUAACGAAAUUGAUUAACUGCUGAGUCAUUUUACAUAAUGAACAACACUAUCAGGGGAAAACAAUUUAGCUCUCUUUCCAAUAAUUGGAGCACAAUAACAGAUUUAAGAACAAGUACGAUCCCGAGCCAACGCUAUCUUAGUGUCUGGGACAAACACAGGGGUUCUUAAGCAUGAGGUGAUGGGCUCAAACUCUCUGCAGGGUCAGAGCUAUUGCCUGACCAUCCCUGGAUCCUCACUGUGGAAGUCACAGCAUCCUAUCCCUGAUUUCCACAAAUUUAUCAGCUCUUGACUUUCACUUUUUGUCACUGUUGACCAUGAAAAUAUUCACAAAGUGUAAUAGUGCUUCCCCUCAUAUUAACAUAUUAAGAACAGUUUGAUAUGAAUUGUCACUGAGAGGUGUG